Molecule: ribosomal RNA, 452 nt
Filed under: Staphylococcus aureus
Lineage: Bacteria; Bacillati; Bacillota; Bacilli; Caryophanales; Staphylococcaceae
Description: partial 23S ribosomal RNA
Rfam family: Bacterial large subunit ribosomal RNA
Source: RNAcentral
UAUUUGGUCGUAGACCCGAAACCAGGUGAUCUACCCUUGGUCAGGUUGAAGUUCAGGUAACACUGAAUGGAGGACCGAACCGACUUACGUUGAAAAGUGAGCGGAUGAACUGAGGGUAGCGGAGAAAUUCCAAUCGAACCUGGAGAUAGCUGGUUCUCUCCGAAAUAGCUUUAGGGCUAGCCUCAAGUGAUGAUUAUUGGAGGUAGAGCACUGUUUGGACGAGGGGCCCCUCUCGGGUUACCGAAUUCAGACAAACUCCGAAUGCCAAUUAAUUUAACUUGGGAGUCAGAACAUGGGUGAUAAGGUCCGUGUUCGAAAGGGAAACAGCCCAGACCACCAGCUAAGGUCCCAAAAUAUAUGUUAAGUGGAAAAGGAUGUGGCGUUGCCCAGACAACUAGGAUGUUGGCUUAGAAGCAGCCAUCAUUUAAAGAGUGCGUAAUAGCUCACUAGUC